This 63-nucleotide transfer RNA is filed under the name Epanerchodus koreanus. RNAcentral describes it as "tRNA-Lys". Lineage: Eukaryota; Metazoa; Arthropoda; Diplopoda; Polydesmida; Polydesmidae. The record is from RNAcentral.
CAUUGGAUGGCUGAUAAAGGCUGUGGUCUCUUAAAUCAUAUUAUAGUAAAUUACUUUCAAUGG